CUCGCAGCAGCACGAGGAGGCUUGGUUGCCACCAUUAUCAGAUUUGGAGAAGCGAACGCAAGGCAAUUUUUCUUUUUGUCUUCAUGGGUACCCUUGUCUCGGCGACAGCAUGCUCAAGUUGCGCAUGGUCGACCCGUUGCGCCUCCGCAGUCCGGCAGCGUCAUUCACGAACAAAAUUGUACACGAGGGGUGCCAAACUGAUUCGUGUCCGCGUGCCACACUCAGCCAUGGAGGAACUACGCGAGCCGCAUUCGACUGCUUUGGGUUAGCCUGCUUCUGAUAAAGAAGUUCGAAUUCACUCGGGAGAUCACCAAGCCUAACGUUCUGUUUCUGGU
Long non-coding RNA from Ornithodoros turicata, 335 nucleotides. RefSeq lists it as uncharacterized. The transcript is spliced from 3 exons. The record is from RefSeq and is a predicted model, not a curated record. NCBI's taxonomy places the organism in Eukaryota, Metazoa, Arthropoda, Arachnida, Ixodida, Argasidae.